This is a long non-coding RNA of Hydractinia symbiolongicarpus, 373 nucleotides long. RefSeq lists it as uncharacterized. The record is from RefSeq and is a predicted model, not a curated record. The transcript is spliced from 2 exons. Lineage: Eukaryota; Metazoa; Cnidaria; Hydrozoa; Anthoathecata; Hydractiniidae.
CCUGUGUAAGGUACCCUUUUCUAAAGAAAUAUUGAAGUAAUUUGUACAAUUAUAACGCGCCGAGCUGUGUUUUAUUUUAUUGUUUCUAAGAAGAUGUAAGAAUACAAUAUUAUCAAUUUUAAUUGGUUUUAUCCAAAUCAAGAUUGUGUACAAUGGGAGUGAGUGAUGUAAUCUUCUAAUGCGUGUGGUGAAAAGAAGGCGAAACCGUUAUUGUUUUUCUGCCCAAAUUUGAAGCUAUUUAAUAAAUCUUGAUAAAGUUAAAAAACUGUUUUGAUUUGUUUGUUUUUGUUUUAAUUGUUUCCCGUGAGUUUUCGAAAUUCGUUCCAGCAGAUUCUGUGGCUUCUACUGCCGGUAUUUUUACGUGAUAAAAAUA